Molecule: ribosomal RNA, 467 nt
Filed under: uncultured bacterium
Lineage: Bacteria
Description: partial 16S ribosomal RNA
Rfam family: Bacterial small subunit ribosomal RNA
Source: RNAcentral
GACGAACGCUGGCGGCGUGCUUAACACAUGCAAGUCGAACGGAAAGGCCCUGCUUUUGUGGGGUGCUCGAGUGGCGAACGGGUGAGUAACACGUGAGUACCUGCCCUUGACUUUGGGAUAACUUCAGGAAACUGGGGCUAAUACCGGCUAGGAGCUCCUGCUGCAUGGUGGGGGUUGGAAAGUUUCGGCGGUUGGGGAUGGACUCGCGGCUUAUCAGCUUGUUGGUGGGGUAGUGGCUUACCAAGGCUUUGACGGGUAGCCGGCCUGAGCGGGGGACCGGCCACAUUGGGACUGAGAUACGGCCCAGACGCCUACGGGAGGCAGCAGUGGGGAAUAUUGCACAAUGGGCGGAAGCCUGAUGCAGCAACGCCGCGUGCGGGAUGACGGCCUUCGGGUUGUAAACCGCUUUCGCCGGUGACGAAGCGUGAGUGACGGUAAUGGGUAAAGAAGCACCGGCUAACUACGUG